UUACUUUACAAGCCCUUAACCAACAAUGCAGGCUUAAGAAAAAGUGUUAAUUAAGAAAGUAUUUACUAAAAGAAACUGAAGUAAAAAAUAUUAAAAUUAAAUAAAAAACAGAGAGUAGUGGCAGUGUAAAAAUGGGGGGUGGGGACCAUAAAAAUAGUCCGGGUAGUCAUUUGAUUAUCUGCUCAGCAGUCUUAUGGCUUUGGGGUAGAAGCUGCUAAGUAGUCCUUAUGUCAACAUCCACAGGUUGAUCUCUGUUAAGUAGCCCUUAUGUCAACAUCCACAGGUUGAUCUCUGUUAAGUAGCCCUUAUGUCAACAUCCACAGGUUGAUCUCUGUUAAGUAGUCCUUAUGUCAACAUCCACAGGUUGAUCUCUGUUAAGUAGUCCUUAUGUCAACCUCCACAGGUUGAUCUCUGUUAAGUAGUCCUUAUGUCAACAUCUGCAGGUUGAUCUUUGUUAAGUAGCCCUUAUGUCAACUGCCACAAGUUGAUCUCUGUUAAGUAGUCCUUAUCUCAACAUCUGCAGGUUGAUCUCUGUUAAGAAGUGGUUAGGUGUUUAGUGUUACUAGAUAGCUAUACAUUAUAUUCCUGAUGAGACUUUCUCUCAGUUCAUGAUCACUCCCAGCAUUUACUGUACUGUACAACAGCAAGCAGUAUUUGUUGAAUGUCUCCUUACUUAAUCACUGUGGUGUAAAUCAGGCCACCUCUGAAAGGAAGACACUAUGGUGUAAAUCAGGCCACCUCUGAAAGGAAGACACUAUGGUGUAAAU
This is a long non-coding RNA of Oncorhynchus tshawytscha (Chinook salmon), 767 nucleotides long. Lineage: Eukaryota; Metazoa; Chordata; Actinopteri; Salmoniformes; Salmonidae. The record is from Ensembl.